UUUUUUUUUUUUUUUUUUUUUUUUUUUUUUUUUUGUGGACCCUUUCAUCACCACAUACUGGUAUGUCACUUAAGGGUCCAAACAAGGACUUUGUCUUCCUUGUAGGCAUGUAACUGAUAAUGUUCAGAAAAAGGACACGAGCAUUCUUCUAUUUCUAUUACUGUUCUCUUUAAUACAGAUCUGCUUCUGACUACAGUAAGACUUCUGUCCUAGUUUCAGCCAAAGACAGGUUAAUUUUUAGCUGUAGCCACGAGGUGGCAGAGCCUGGAGCUGUGUGUGUGUGUCUAGGUUGUUACUCUAUGCCAUGGACUUCAUCAGAGGGAGGCAGAAAUAAGGGAUUCUCCCUUCCAAGGAGGAUGAUGUGGCUUGUUGACGUUGCCAAUGUGUUUUUCUCCACUCCUCUGGCAGCAGAAUGCAGUUUGCUUUCACCUGGAGGGACAUGCAGUACACCUGGAAUUGACUCCUCCAUGGGUGGAAGCACAGCCCCACCCUCUGCUAUGGACAGAUCCAGGCUGCACUGGAAAACAGUGAGGCUUCAGAACGCCUGCAGUUCUUUGAUGACAUCAUUGUAUGGAGCAACAUGGCAGAGGAAUUUUUUGAGAAAGGGGGAAUAUAACCCAGAGCCUCCUGAAGGCCGGUUCUGCCAUAAAACAAAGAUUAAUGGACCUGCCCAGGAAACUCAAGUCUUUGGAGUAAAAUGGCAAGAUGAACGUUGUCACAUUCUCAUGGACGUGGUCAAAAACCAGCAAAAUACCAACUGUGUUCCCACCAACAGGCAAGAAGGAAACAGUUUUCUAUCUCAUUGUUCUUUCCAGUAAAUUUUUCAUAUCUCAACUAACUGCUCUUUGUCUGUCUUACUGGAGGCAGGGGAAGAAGGGGAGUGGGUUGUGGUUUCCAUUUUAGUGGGAAAACUAAAUUAUGUCAUUCCAUUCCUACACCACAACAACUUCUUAUACCAAAUUCUAGCCAUGUGAGGAUAUAAAAUGCCUGUGUGUAUAUGGCCAAAGGUAGGAAAAACAAGAAGGCUAAGGACUGCAUGAAAUGGUCCCUCCUUCCAUAUGCCUUCCUAAACCUCAGAGACUUCCUAAAUUAGGUGUUUUAACUACUAUAGUUUGCCCUUGAUAGUUAAUCAAUUCUGAAUAGAUGCACUGGUUCCCUUUUUGAACAUUUUUUAAUAGAUCUUACUAAUUUUCUGUAGCACUGAAUAAGGAGCCCUAAGAGUUCUCCAAUAAAGGGACUUCUGAAAGUAAAUAUGUGUGAUGGGCAGGUGUCAUUUGUUGCCUUCAAGUGUCCUUGUAGCCUACAGUGGUGCAAGUGCCCCCCACGCAGCCAUCUCAUGCCCAUGGGAGAUUGUGUGACUGUCCCACUAUGGGUCCAUUCACUACUGGCAUGUGCUCAUCACAGUUUUUUUUUUUACUUUGAGUAAAAAAAAUACAGGCUGUAUUUGAUACUAGAGUAAUUUUGCCUUUUCCCUUCAGAACAACAACAGCUAUCCACAGAAUUUAAUGGGAAAUAUUAAAGAAAGUGUUUUGGGACCAGAAUCCCUUAGUAUCAUGGUCUGUACCUUUUAGGAGUGCUUGCAUGUUUUUCCUGCAGUAAUAGUGGAGUACUUUGAUGUUCGCAAUUGUAUUUUUUAUCAACAUUUUCUAACUUCUUUUCAUGUUUUUCAGAAAAUCUCCAUUAAUUUCUAGGAGUAUGGUUGCUUGUAAAGCUCCUGACUUUUUUGAGAUUCAAAAAAACCCCAAAAAUUCAGCUGCUAAUUUUUAGGGUUUGCUGUAGAACAGAAGAAAUAAUUGUAAUAAAUUUUCUUGAAUUUGCCAUGAUAAUAUUAAUAACAUUUCUAUAAAGCUUGGAUUGAAACAAAAAA
Molecule: long non-coding RNA, 1867 nt
Organism: Taeniopygia guttata (zebra finch)
Lineage: Eukaryota; Metazoa; Chordata; Aves; Passeriformes; Estrildidae
Source: Ensembl